This 628-nucleotide small RNA is filed under the name Pongo abelii (Sumatran orangutan). Its description in RNAcentral is "retained intron". The record is from RNAcentral. Lineage: Eukaryota; Metazoa; Chordata; Mammalia; Primates; Hominidae.
GUCCAAUAUGAAAUAGACUUUAUAAAUAGUACUUUAUAGGUAGUACAAAUAGAUAACUGUUAUACAGUAAAAUUGAUUUGAAUUGAUUUGAAUUAAUUUUUAACUUUUUUCAACUUUUUGAAUUUUAAUUUUAUAGGUUAAUUUCACCUACCAGUUUUUGAAAAAGAAGUUCUAUAUAUUUAGCCAAUUUAUGUAUGAUGAACACAUCAAAUCCAGAUUGAUUAAAGAUAUUCGAUUUUUCAGGGAAAUUAAGGACCAAAAUGAUCAUAAGUAUCCUUUUGAAAGAGCAGAAAAAUUCAAUCGAGGCAUCAGAAAACUUGGAAUAACACCUGAGGGACAGAGCUACCUUGAUCAAUUCAGGCAACUCAUCAGCCAAAUUGGUAAUGCUAUGGGCUAUGUACGAAUGAUAAGAUCUGGUGGUCUUCAUUGUAGCAGCAAUGCCAUUAGAUUUGUUCCUGAUCUUGAAGAUAUUGUAAAUUUUGAAGAACUAGUAAAAGAAGAAGGUCUUGCAGAAGAAACGUUAAAAGCAGCAAGGCAUUUGGAUUCAGUCCUCAGUGAUCACACACGAAAUUCUGCCGAAGGCACAGAAUAUUUCAAAAUGCUUGUAGACGUUUUUGCUCCAGAAUUU